CCGCUAUAAGCUCUGGGCUAUAUAUAUACUUUCGUAAGCAAUUAAUUCGUAAACGGGGGGGUUAAUACAUGGACGAUCUUUUGUGUUAGUAAUAAACGAGUCAGACAUAAACAAGUCAGUCAUAAACAGGAAAAUAAACAUGUAUUAAUAACGUGCUUUGAUUAACAUAGUCGGCUAUAAAGACAAUGACAAUGUUUUUAAACAUCGUUCUCUGCUAUAUUAAAAGACAAUGCCAAUGUUGAAGAACGUAGUGGGCUACCGGGCUUAUAUUCGGGGGACUUAUAUUUGGGGGACUUAUAUUCGGGUGGGCUUAUAUUUGGAAUGAGGUGAGCGUCAGU
Molecule: non-coding RNA, 338 nt
Organism: Paramuricea clavata
Lineage: Eukaryota; Metazoa; Cnidaria; Anthozoa; Malacalcyonacea; Plexauridae
Source: the annotation of a GenBank genome assembly